Molecule: ribosomal RNA, 253 nt
Filed under: uncultured bacterium
Lineage: Bacteria
Description: partial 16S ribosomal RNA
Rfam family: Bacterial small subunit ribosomal RNA
Source: RNAcentral
UACGUAGGGUGCAAGCGUUGUUCGGAAUUACUGGGCGUAAAGGGCGCGUAGGCGGGCCCGUAUGUCGAUUGUGAAAUCCCUGGGCUCAACCCGGGAAUGGCAGUCGAAACUGCGGGUCUUGAAUGCUUGAGAGGAUGGCGGAAUUCCCGGUGUAGAAGUGAAAUUCGUAGAUAUCGGGAAGAACACCUGAGGCGAAGGCGGCUAUCUGGCGAUGCAUUGACGCUGAGGCGCGAAAGCGUGGGGAGCAAACAGG